Molecule: ribosomal RNA, 253 nt
Filed under: uncultured bacterium
Lineage: Bacteria
Description: partial 16S ribosomal RNA
Rfam family: Bacterial small subunit ribosomal RNA
Source: RNAcentral
UACAGAGGGUGCAAGCGUUAAUCGGAAUUACUGGGCGUAAAGCGUGCGUAGGUGGUUUGUUAAGUCAGGCGUGAAAUCCUGGGGCUCAACCUCAGAAUUGCGCUUGAUACUGACAGACUCGAGUGUGGUAGAGGAUAGUGGAAUUCCCGGUGUAGCGGUGAAAUGCGUAGAGAUCGGGAGGAACAUCAGUGGCGAAGGCGGCUAUCUGGACCAACACUGACAAUGAGGUACGAAAGAGUGGGUAGCAAACAGG